UAGGGAAUCUUUCGCAAUGGACGCAAGUCUGACGGAGCAACGCCGCGCGAGUGAAGAAGGAUUUCGGUUCGUAAAACUCUGUUGUUAGAGAAGAACAGCGCAUAGAGUAACUGUUAUGCGUGUGACGGUAUCUAACCAGAAAGCCACGGCUAACUACGUGCCAGCAGCCGCGGUAAUACGUAGGUGGCAAGCGUUGUCCGGAUUUAUUGGGCGUAAAGCGAGCGCAGGCGGUCAAUUAAGUCUGGUGUGAAAGCCCCCGGCUCAACCGGGGGGGGUCAUUGGAAACUGGUUGGAGUGAGUGCAGAAGAGGAGAGAGGAAUUCCGUGUGUAGCGGAGAAGUGCGUAGAUGUAGGGAGGAACACCGGUGGCGAGGGCGACUCUCUGGUCUGUAACUGACGCGGGGGCUCGAAAGCGUGGGUAACAAACAGG
RNAcentral lists this ribosomal RNA (429 nucleotides) under Bacteroidota bacterium. RNAcentral describes it as "Bacteroidetes bacterium partial 16S ribosomal RNA". It matches the Rfam family "Bacterial small subunit ribosomal RNA", at positions 355 to 776 of the family's 1533-position model. The record is from RNAcentral. Lineage: Bacteria; Pseudomonadati; Bacteroidota.